UCGCCUGUUUUUCAAAAACAUAGUUUUAUGAUAUUUAUAUAAAAUAACUUCUGCCCAGUGUCUAAAAAGAUAAAUGGCCGCAGUACCUUGACUGUGCUAAGGUAGCAUAAUCAAUUGGCUUUUAAUUGAAGUCUAGAAUGAAUGGGAAAAUGGAAUUUAGCUGUCUUAAUUUUUUUAAUUAAAAUUUAUUUAUAAGGUGAAAAUACCUUAAAAUUUAAUAAAGACGAGAAGACCCUAUGAAUUUUUAAAUGUAUUUUUGUUGGGGCGACAGUUUAAAAAAUAAUCUUAAAUUUAUAAUAUAUAACGAAUUUUUUAAUAAAAAUUAAAUUACCUUAGGGAUAACAGCAUUAUUAUUAAAAUAGUUUGUGACCUCGAUGUUGGACUAGGAACUAAAAGGCUAACCGUCUUUAUAGAUUUGUUCUGUUCGAACAAUUUAAUCCUACGUGAUCUGAGUUCAGACCGGA
Molecule: ribosomal RNA, 464 nt
Filed under: Gyraulus sp. clade B TS-2018
Lineage: Eukaryota; Metazoa; Mollusca; Gastropoda; Planorbidae
Description: partial 16S ribosomal RNA
Rfam family: Bacterial large subunit ribosomal RNA
Source: RNAcentral